GCCGCCUGCCGGUCCUGUCGGCAAGUAGCCCCCCCGCUGUCCUGCGUGGUACCCGCGGGCGCCCAGUCUCCGCCUACUGAUGACCUCUGUGCCAGAUCCCGGAGAAGAGAUAUUUGGGAGAGUAGGGGGCUCAAAAAAUGGCUCUGGGGAAGCCAGCCACCAUGUCAGAAGGACACUCAAGUAGCCCAUGGAGGGCCCACGUGGUAAGAAACAGGCCUGCAGCCCCAGAACAGUUGAAGCCUUCUGCCCAUGAAAAUAAGAGUGAGCUUAGCAGGAGAUUCUACAGUCUGGUUAAGCCUUCUGAUGACUACAGUUCUGGAUGGCACUUCGACUGCAACCUCACGAGAGACCCUGAGCCUCUGCUGUGGUCAUCAGAGAGCUCCAGAUUGCCAAACCAGUUACCGUUUUUUGGUCCUUACCCUACCUGAUCUCGUGGUUAUGGGGCAAUGUUAAAUAAAUACACAACUGUG
Artibeus jamaicensis (Jamaican fruit-eating bat) is the source of this 470-nucleotide long non-coding RNA. RefSeq lists it as uncharacterized. The record is from RefSeq and is a predicted model, not a curated record. NCBI's taxonomy places the organism in Eukaryota, Metazoa, Chordata, Mammalia, Chiroptera, Phyllostomidae. The transcript is spliced from 3 exons.